RNAcentral lists this ribosomal RNA (319 nucleotides) under uncultured eukaryote. RNAcentral describes it as "partial 18S ribosomal RNA". It matches the Rfam family "Eukaryotic small subunit ribosomal RNA", at positions 1470 to 1796 of the family's 1831-position model. The record is from RNAcentral.
CCCUUAGAUGUUCUGGGCAGCACGCGCGCUUCAAUGGUCUUCGCAAACGGAUGCAUUCUCGAAUGAGAAUGCCAAUCUUGGAAUCUAUGCCUUGGUCGGGACAGUUGCUUGCAAUUUUUCGACUCGAACCAGGAAUUCCUUGUAAUCGUGAUUCAUCACAUCACGAUGAAUACGUCCCUGCCCUUUGUACACACCGCCCGUCGCUCCUACCGAUCGAAGAGUUAGGUGAAUUGUUUUGAUCGAUAAGAUUUGACUAUGGUCAACUCUCGUUGUGAAAUUCUGUGAAUCUGACUGUUUAGAGGAAGGAAAAGUCGUAACA